This 491-nucleotide ribosomal RNA is filed under the name uncultured bacterium. RNAcentral's name for it is "partial 16S ribosomal RNA". It matches the Rfam family "Bacterial small subunit ribosomal RNA", at positions 29 to 507 of the family's 1533-position model. The record is from RNAcentral.
AGUGAACGCUGGCGGUAGGCCUAACACAUGCAAGUCGAACGGCAGCACAGUAAGAGCUUGCUCUUACGGGUGGCGAGUGGCGGACGGGUGAGGAAUACAUCGGAAUCUACUUUUUCGUGGGGGAUAACGUAGGGAAACUUACGCUAAUACCGCAUACGACCUACGGGCGAAAGCAGGGGAUCUUCGGACCUUGCGCGAUUGAAUGAGCCGAUGUCGGAUUAGCUAGUUGGCGGGGUAAAGGCCCACCAAGGCGACGAUCCGUAGCUGGUCUGAGAGGAUGAUCAGCACCACGGGAGCUAGGAACGGGCCAGACUCCUACGGGAGGCAGCAGUGGGGAAUAUUGGACAAAGGGGGCAAGCCUGAUCCAGCCAUACCGCGUGGGUGAAGAAGGCCUUCGGGUUGUAAAGCCCUUUUGUUGGGAAAGAAAAGCAGCAGGUUAACACCCCGCUGUUCUGACGGUACCCAAAGAAUAAGCACCGGCUAACUUCGUG